This 672-nucleotide ribosomal RNA is filed under the name Escherichia coli. Its description in RNAcentral is "partial 23S ribosomal RNA". It matches the Rfam family "Bacterial large subunit ribosomal RNA", at positions 2259 to 2925 of the family's 2925-position model. RNAcentral also lists the same sequence under 3 other names. Lineage: Bacteria; Pseudomonadati; Pseudomonadota; Gammaproteobacteria; Enterobacterales; Enterobacteriaceae. The record is from RNAcentral.
UGGUGGGUAGUUUGACUGGGGCGGUCUCCUCCUAAAGAGUAACGGAGGAGCACGAAGGUUGGCUAAUCCUGGUCGGACAUCAGGAGGUUAGUGCAAUGGCAUAAGCCAGCUUGACUGCGAGCGUGACGGCGCGAGCAGGUGCGAAAGCAGGUCAUAGUGAUCCGGUGGUUCUGAAUGGAAGGGCCAUCGCUCAACGGAUAAAAGGUACUCCGGGGAUAACAGGCUGAUACCGCCCAAGAGUUCAUAUCGACGGCGGUGUUUGGCACCUCGAUGUCGGCUCAUCACAUCCUGGGGCUGAAGUAGGUCCCAAGGGUAUGGCUGUUCGCCAUUUAAAGUGGUACGCGAGCUGGGUUUAGAACGUCGUGAGACAGUUCGGUCCCUAUCUGCCGUGGGCGCUGGAGAACUGAGGGGGGCUGCUCCUAGUACGAGAGGACCGGAGUGGACGCAUCACUGGUGUUCGGGUUGUCAUGCCAAUGGCACUGCCCGGUAGCUAAAUGCGGAAGAGAUAAGUGCUGAAAGCAUCUAAGCACGAAACUUGCCCCGAGAUGAGUUCUCCCUGACCCUUUAAGGGUCCUGAAGGAACGUUGAAGACGACGACGUUGAUAGGCCGGGUGUGUAAGCGCAGCGAUGCGUUGAGCUAACCGGUACUAAUGAACCGUGAGGCUUAACCUU